CUGGCCUCAAGCAGUCCUCCCACCUUGUACUCCCAAAGUGCUAGAAUUACUGGUGGGAGCCACCACGCCCAGCCUGGAAUCUGAUUCUAACCGCAAGUGUUAUCUGCAAAGAUUGUGGAAUUUCUGGAGUUGGGACCCACGGGAGGGAAAACUCCCAGAACUUCUUGGUCCUGAUGCCUGACCAUGGAGAUGUGAGCCUCCCACCCGAAGACCGGGUGAGGGCUCUCUCCCAGCUGGGUAGUGCAGUGGAGGUGAAUGAAGACAUUCCACCCCGUCGGUACUUCCGCUCUGGAGUUGAGAUGAUCCGAAUGGCAUCCAUUUACUCUGAGGAAGGCAACAUUGAACAUGCCUUCAUCCUUUAUAACAAGUAUAUCACGCUUUUUAUUGAGAAACUGCCAAAGCAUCGAGAUUACAAAUCUGCUGUCAUUCCUGAAAAGAAAGACACGGUAAAGAAAUUAAAGGAAAUUGCAUUUCCCAAGGCAGAAGAACUGAAGGCAGAACUAUUAAAACGAUACACCAAAGAAUAUACAGAAUAUAAUGAAGAAAAGAAGAAGGAAGCGGAGGAAUUUGCCCGUAACAUGGCCAUCCAGCAGGAGCUAGAAAAGGAAAGACAGAGGAUAGCACAGCAGAAGCAGCAGCAAUUGGAACAGGAACAGUUCCAUGCCUUUGAGGAGAUGAUUCGGAACCAGGAGCUAGAAAAAGAGCGACUGAAAAUUGUACAGGAGUUUGGGAAGGUGGACCCUGGCCGAGGAGGCCCACUGGUGCCUGACUUGGAAAAGCCCUCCUUAGAUGUGUUCCCCACCUCACCUGUCUCAUCCACACAGCCUUUAGACUGUAACACAACUGUAAGGCCAGCUAAGCCACCAGUGGUGGAUAGGUCCCUGAAACCUGGAGCACUGAGCAACUCAGAGAGUGUUCCUACCAUCGAUGGAUUGCGCCACGUGGUGGUGCCCGGCAGGCUGUGCCCACAGUUUCUGCAGUUAGCCAGCGCCAACACUGCCCGGGGAGUGGAGACAUGUGGAAUUCUCUGUGGAAAACUGAUGAGGAAUGAAUUUACCAUUACUCAUGUUCUCAUCCCCAAGCAAAGUGCUGGAUCUGAUUACUGUAACACAGAGAAUGAAGAAGAACUUUUCCUCAUACAGGAUCAGCAGGGUCUCAUCACACUAGGAUGGAUUCAUACUCAUCCCACACAGACCGCCUUCCUCUCCAGUGUUGACCUGCACACGCACUGCUCCUACCAGUUGAUGCUGCCAGAGUCAAUAGCCAUUGUUUGCUCCCCCAAGUUCCAGGAAACUGGAUUCUUUAAACUAACUGAACAUGGACUAGAGGAGAUAUCUUCCUGUCGCCAGAAAGGAUUUCACCCACACAGCAAGGAUCCACCUCUUUUCUGUAGCUGCAGUCACGUGACCGUUGUGGACAGAGCAGUAAACAUCACAGACCUUCGAUGAGAGCUUGAGUCAGACACCUUCCAAGAAUUACAAAACCAUAUCAGUGUACUGUAGCCCCUUAAUUUAAGCUUUCUAGAAAGCUUCGUAAGCUUUCUUAGACAGACUAGAAAGGGGGCAUCAUUUGGGAAAGAGCUGAUUUUCUGUUUCUGAUUUAAAAAGAAAUAACUGAAUUAUUUUUUAGACCUGGCUGGAAAACAGCAUGAUGACACUAAAGCACGGUAACUCAGAAAUUAAGUCAAAAGAAUGGUAUAAUGAAGUCCCAUAAAUCCUUCAUUCUAGAUUUGCCAGUUGCUAACAUUUUUUUCCUUUCAGCUAUCCUUCUAAUUUCUAUGCCAAACCUGUUUAUUGUUUAUCUCUGGACUAAACAAGGGCAUCUAUGCAGAAAUUUGGAAGCCAUUUAGAAAAUCUUUGGGGUUUUCCGGUGGUUUAUGGCAAUACUAAUGGAGCUUAUUAAAGGAUGAGGAACAGCUCACUGCAUCUGACCAGAUGUUACCCCAGUGGUAGGAGGUUUUUCAUAUUGGAGUUGAGAGGAAUGGAGACCGCUGAGAACAAAGCUUUAAUGAGUGAAAGUCCAGUGAGUCCUGCACCUUUGAUCUGUUUCAAGUGGAUUCAUCAUGGGCUGAGCCUGUUAGGUCCAGAAUCCAGCUCUGUGGCAUUGCACAGCCAUGGGUCUGUGUCGUCCUCUGGUGAUCAAAUCUGCUUCCCCUGGAGCUUGAUCCAACUUCCACCUUCUUUAGUGUCUUCUCUCACUGAAACCAAAACUCCAUUGCCCCUUCAAUGUGGGAAUCUAGCCAAGACCUUAUUCUUGGACAGCAUCAGUGAAAGGGCCUUGGGAAAGCUCUUGGGUGUAGCAGCAGAGGCAUGUCAUAUAUGGAAACCUUCCAUGAGGGUGACCUCACCGCUGGAGCCUGUUCAACAUAAACCUUGCUGCAAGAACUAGCAGAGAUCUUUGGACAAAACCCAGUGGGUGGAGAACUAAGAAAGAACUGACCUAAAGAAGAGAAGUGCUUCUGCAGGAUCUACCUCUACAGUCCUCAAAUAAAUUUAAAAAAGAAGUAAAAUAUUUUAUGAAAAAAAUUAUAUAAAUUAAAAAAAAAAAAAGAAGAGAAAUGCUGCCUUUAUGGCCUGAAGAAGUCCUGAUUAUCCAUCCAAGCUUAGCAGAUCUCUUUUGUGAUCUAUUCCUAGGGAAGAAUUGCUUUUCUCAACCUCCAGAAAAGAACUCCCACAAUAGCCCUGGGUUAUUUCUGUCUUUUUCUGAAAACAUAGAUUGUUACUUGUGUUGGACAAAUCAUUACGGGUUAUUAGUGGGUGACAGAAGUGGAGAUAUUACCUUGAGUCAAGGAAGUAAAGUUAUUCUUAGAUAUUCCUCUGUCAUUCCCUGUAGUUAGGUUCCCUAUCCCUGGCAGUCUCCUCUCUUCACCCCACUUUGCCUUAAAAAAAGCGAAUGACAUCAUAGCAAAGCACAAUUCCAUCAAAUAUGGCCCAUGCCGUCUAUAGCACUGGCCCCUUUGCCAUUUUGAAUGGCUCAUAACACCCUGCUCACCACGUUAAAACACCUGUGUCUACAACGUCUCUCACCCAGCCUAGUUCUACACCUUUCCCAUGACUUAGGAGUUUUAAAUUGUUUUUAAUGGAAACAUGGUAGACUCACGAUAAGUUCACACAACUAUUUUAUUUCCCAGUCCCAGUGUUGCUUUGUAAGCACAAGGUCUCUGAUUAUACCCUUGAGACUUCAGCUGACCCAGGGAGAGAUCACAUAAUGAGAACAGAAUCAUGUCUUAGUACAAAUUCUUUUAAUUGCACUGACGGAAAAUUCAAACUGGUAUUCAGGCACAGCUGGAUUCAGUGUCCAUUGUCAUCAGGUUCAUUUUGUAUUCAUCUCUAGGCUCAUAUGCUUAAUGUGUAUUCAUUUAAUUAGAUUUUCUAAUAAGGUAGCAUUGACACCUAUAGGUUUAUAUAGCCUAUUGGCCUGGUAAACCCAUCAAGGAAAAGAAACUUCUGAGUCCAACAGGUUCAACACAAGUCCUGGAAUUGAGUUAUUAGGUCAUGGUUUUGGUCAUGACUUCAUCCUUGGACCAAUCACUGUGGCCAGGAGGAUGGAAUACUCUGAUUAGCCAGGCCUGGGUCAUGUACCUAUUCCCCGUCUGUCCCAUGUACCUAUUCCCACAUACACUGAGAGUGGAGAAGUACCUAGGUCCCAGGUACCUAUUCCCACAUACACUGAGAGUGGAGAAGCAUUCAUUUCCAAAGAAAAAUCAUGUUGGCAUUAGCAGCGGAAGGAGAAGUAGAUGCUGGACAGGCAAAGGCAAGAGAUGUCCAUGACGGGUGCCUAGGAGAAAAAGCUGGAGCCUACCAUCUCCACGUAGGCUUUAUGAUCCAAGGUGAGUGAACUAAUAAAAUGUAAACGGGAACACUAAGUGGUAUUGGCUUUAGAUAAUAAUAGCUAGACUAUGGGAUGGUGACCCUCUCAAUCCCAAAAGGCAGGUCACACAUCCAGUCCAUGGGUCAUUCACUAAAUUUGCAUAUAUUGAGCACCCGCUGUGUGCAGAGCACUGUUCAAAGUACGCAAAAAGUAUUCAUGGAUGCUAAGCUCUCUGUCCUCAAGCAACAGAUAAUGGAGGGAGAUAAAGGAGCCAUAUGCUGGUGACAUAGCACAAGAGCAACUUCUUCAUGAUUGAUGAGCAUACACGGAAUAAUGAGCACCAACUUUACCUGUAAGUGUUGAGGGAAGCCAAGUGAGGGAGAAAUGAAUGUUUUCAUUUUAAUCUAUUUACACUCCACUUUUAACUCAACAAAUAUUUUCUAUAUGCCUACUAAGUGCUAAGUCCCAUAGAACUUGAUAUAGGUAGACUCUAGAUAACUUAUAGAAAAGAUUUCAGAUAGAUUCCCAGGAUAUGUAAAAUGUUAAAAAGAGAAAAUGAACAGGAGUGAAGAAGAAUGUAGAAAUCAAGUAUGCAACCAAAUGAAUUCAGCAGCAAAGAGAAAAAUGUAAACCAUGAUUAUUUACAUACAUCCCCACCAUGGAUGGGCCAAAUGUUGUGUGAUAUCAUAAAUAAUUUGUAUAAUAAACCCAAACAUCAACUA
Non-coding RNA from Microcebus murinus (gray mouse lemur), 4532 nucleotides. Lineage: Eukaryota; Metazoa; Chordata; Mammalia; Primates; Cheirogaleidae. The record is from RefSeq and is a predicted model, not a curated record.